AGAGUUUGAUCAUGGCUCAGAACGAACGCUGGCGGCGUGGAUAAGACAUGCAAGUCGAACGAGACGUCCUUAGCUUGCUUUGGGCCUCUAGUGGCGGACGGGUGAGUAACACGUGAGUACCUGCCUGAAAGAUGGGGAUAGCCCGGGGAAACUCGGAUUAAUACCCGAUGUGGUCGCAAGACUAAAGGUGCCUUCGGGUGCCGCUUUCAGAUGGGCUCGCGGCCUAUCAGCUAGUUGGAGGGGUAACGGCCCACCAAGGCGACGACGGGUAGCUGGUCUGAGAGGAUGACCAGUCACACUGGAACUGAGACACGGUCCAGACACCUACGGGUGGCAGCAGUCGAGAAUCAUUCACAAUGGGCGAAAGCCUGAUGGUGCGACGCCGCGUGGAGGAUGACGGCCUUCGGGUUGUAAACUCCUGUCAUCAGGGAGUAAAGCUUAGGCGUUAAUAGCGCUUCAAGCCUGAUAGUACCUGAAGAGGAAGGGGCGGCAAACUCCGUGCCAGCAGCCGCGGUAACACGGAGGCCCCGAGCGUUGUUCGGAUUUACUGGGCGUAAAGCGUGCGUAGGCUGUUGGGUAAGUCAGAUGUGAAAGCCCGGGGCUCAACCCCGGAACUGCAUCCGAUACUGCCCGACUAGAGGGUUGGAGAGGAGACUGGAAUUCACGGUGUAGCAGUGAAAUGCGUGGAUAUCGUGAGGAAGACCAAAGGCGAAGGCAGGUCUCUGGACAACAUCUGACGCUGAUGCACGAAGGCCAGGGG
Molecule: ribosomal RNA, 760 nt
Filed under: uncultured bacterium
Lineage: Bacteria
Description: bacterial SSU rRNA
Rfam family: Bacterial small subunit ribosomal RNA
Source: RNAcentral